Molecule: ribosomal RNA, 512 nt
Filed under: uncultured bacterium
Lineage: Bacteria
Description: partial 16S ribosomal RNA
Rfam family: Bacterial small subunit ribosomal RNA
Source: RNAcentral
GAUGAACGCUGGCGGCGUGCCUAAUACAUGCAAGUCGAACGAAACUUCUUUAUCACCGAGUGCUUGCACUCACCGAUAAAGAGUUGAGUGGCGAACGGGUGAGUAACACGUGGGCAACCUGCCCAAAAGAGGGGGAUAACACUUGGAAACAGGUGCUAAUACCGCAUAACCAUAGUUACCGCAUGGUAACUAUGUAAAAGGUGGCUAUACUACCGCUUUUGGAUGGGCCCGCGGCGCAUUAGCUAGUUGGUAGGGUAAAGGCUCACCAAGGCAAUGAUGCGUAGCCGAAUUGAGAGGUUGAUCGGCCACAUUGGGACUGAGACACGGCCCAAACUCCUACGGGAGGCAGCAGUAGGGAAUCUUCCACAAUGGGCGAAAGCCUGAUGGAGCAACGCCGCGUGGGUGAAGAAGGUCUUCGGAUCGUAAAACCCUGUUGUUAGAGAAGAAAGUGCGUGAGAGUAACUGUUCACGUUUCGACGGUAUCUAACCAGAAAGCCACGGCUAACUACGUG